UACGUAGGUGGCAAGCGUUAUCCGGAAUUAUUGGGCGUAAAGCGCUCGCAGGCGGUCUUUUAAGUCUGAUGUGAAAGCCCACGGCUCAACCGUGGAGGGCCAUUGGAAACUGGGAGACUUGAGUGCAGAAGAGGAGAGUGGAAUUCCACGUGUAGCGGUGAAAUGCGUAGAUAUGUGGAGGAACACCAGUUGCGAAGGCGGCUUUCUGGUCUGUAACUGACGCCGAGGCGCGAAAGCGUGGGGAGCAAACAGG
RNAcentral lists this unclassified non-coding RNA (253 nucleotides) under uncultured Bacillaceae bacterium. Its description in RNAcentral is "contains 16S-23S intergenic spacer region". It matches the Rfam family "Bacterial small subunit ribosomal RNA", at positions 524 to 776 of the family's 1533-position model. Lineage: Bacteria; Bacillati; Bacillota; Bacilli; Caryophanales; Bacillaceae. The record is from RNAcentral.